UACGGAGGGUGCAAGCGUUAUCCGGAUUCACUGGGUUUAAAGGGUGCGUAGGUGGGUUGAUAAGUCAGUGGUGAAAUCCCCGAGCUUAACUUGGGAACUGCCAUUGAUACUAUUGAUCUUGAAUACCGUGGAGGUCAGCGGAAUAUGUCAUGUAGCGGUGAAAUGCUUAGAUAUGACAUAGAACACCAAUUGCGAAGGCAGCUCGCUACACAUAUAUUGACUCUGAGGCACGAAAGCGUGGGGAUCAAACAGG
Molecule: ribosomal RNA, 253 nt
Filed under: uncultured bacterium
Lineage: Bacteria
Description: partial 16S ribosomal RNA
Rfam family: Bacterial small subunit ribosomal RNA
Source: RNAcentral